UGAUUCCGGGAGUAGUGGCGAGCGAAACCGGAUGAGGCCAAACCGUAUGCGUGUGAUACCCGGCAGGGGUUGCGCAUGCGGGGUUGUGGGAAUGAGCUUCAGUCGUCUGCCGGCGGCUGGGCGAGUCAGAAACCGUUGAUGUAGUCGAAGGACAUGCGAAAGGUCCGGCGUAGAGGGUAAGACCCCCGUAGACGAAACAUCAGCGGCUUGCUUGCUCA
RNAcentral lists this ribosomal RNA (218 nucleotides) under Streptomyces sp. XY593. Its description in RNAcentral is "partial 23S ribosomal RNA". It matches the Rfam family "Bacterial large subunit ribosomal RNA", at positions 233 to 403 of the family's 2925-position model. The record is from RNAcentral. Lineage: Bacteria; Bacillati; Actinomycetota; Actinomycetes; Kitasatosporales; Streptomycetaceae.